AUUAUUUUGGCAGAAUAGUGCAUUGGAUUUAGAAUUCAAAUAUGUAAAUAAAUUACAGAUAAUA
Molecule: transfer RNA, 64 nt
Filed under: Ctenochauliodes nigrovenosus
Lineage: Eukaryota; Metazoa; Arthropoda; Insecta; Megaloptera; Corydalidae
Description: tRNA-Leu
Rfam family: tRNA
About the family: Transfer RNA (tRNA) molecules are approximately 80 nucleotides in length. Their secondary structure includes four short double-helical elements and three loops (D, anti-codon, and T loops).
Source: RNAcentral